CGGUAAAGAUUUAUCGCUCUUGGAACGGCCUGCGGUCUAUCAGCUAGUUGGUACGGUAACGGCGUACCAAGGCUACGACGGAUAGGGGGGGUGAGAGCCCGGUCCCCACCGAUGGAACUGAGACACGGUCCAUACUCCUACGGGAGGCCGCAGUCGAGAAUCUUCCGCAAUGGACGAAAGUCUGACGGAGCGACGCCACGUGGUGGAUGAAGUCCCUCGGGACGUAGACACCUUUUAUGAGUGAAGAAGUUUAUUGACAUUAGCUCAUGAAUAAGGGGCUCCCAACUCUGUGCCAGCAGGAGCGGUAAUACAGAGGCCCCAAGCAUUAUCCGGAUUCACUGGGCGUAAAGGGUGCGUAGGCGGUUAUGUUAGUCGGGUGUUAAAUCCUUGGGCUCAACCCAAGGCUCGCAUUCGAAACGGUAAAACUAGAAGGAGUCAGAGGUAAGCAGAACUCUCGGUGUAGGGGUGAAAUCCGUUGAUAUCGAGGGGAAUACCAAAUGCGAAGGCAGCUUACUGGGACUUUCUUGACGCUGAGGCACGAAAGCGUGGGUAGCGAACGGGAUUAGAUACCCCGGUAGUCCACGCCCUAAACGCUGUCUGUUGGCUUUGGGGGGAAUCGACCCCCUCCGAGGCGAAGUUAACACGUUAAACAGACCGCCUGGGUAGUACGAGCGCAAGCUUAAAACUCAAAGGAAUAGACGGGGGCUCGCACAAGCGGUGGAUCAUGUGGCUUAAUUCGUCGAUAAGCGAAAAACCUUACCAAGGCUAGAAAUCAUACUGCACGCUUCGGGAAACCGAAGAAGCCUUCGAGGGUGUAUGACAGGUGAUGCAUGGCCGUCGUCAGUUCGUGGCUUGAGCUGUUCCCUUAAGUGGGGAAACGAACGCAACCCUCGUUGCCUGUUACAAGUGUCAGGCGAGACUGCUCCCUCACGGGAGAGGAAGGUGAGGAUGACGCCAGGUCAGCAUGUCCCUUGAUGCCUUGGGCCGCACACGUGAUACAAUGGGACGUACAACGGGACGCAAUACCGCAAGGUGGAGCAAAUCCUAAUAAAACGUUCCUCAGUUCGGAUUGUGGGCUGCAACUCGCCCACAUGAAGCCGGAAUCGCUAGUAAUCGUGAAUCAGCACGUCACGG
This 1134-nucleotide ribosomal RNA is filed under the name uncultured organism. Its description in RNAcentral is "bacterial SSU rRNA". It matches the Rfam family "Bacterial small subunit ribosomal RNA", at positions 199 to 1362 of the family's 1533-position model. The record is from RNAcentral.